CUACGGGCGGCACCAGUGAGGAAUAUUGCACAAUGGGGGGAACCCUGAUGCAGCAACGCCGCGUGGAGGAUGACGCAUUUCGGUGUGUAAACUCCUUUUAUAUGUCAAGAAAAUGACGGUAGCAUAUGAAUAAGCACCGGCUAACUCCGUGCCAGCAGCCGCGGUAAUACGGAGGGUGCAAGCGUUACUCGGAAUCACUGGGCGUAAAGGACGCGUAGGCGGGUUGGAAAGUCAGGUGUGAAAUCCUACAGCUUAACUGUAGAACUGCACUUGAAACUUCUAAUCUAGAGUAUGGGAGGGGGAGAUGGAAUUAGUGGUGUAGGGGUAAAAUCCGUAGAUAUCACUAGGAAUACCUAAAGCGAAGGCGAUCUCCUGGAACAUUACUGACGCUAAGGCGUGAAAGCGUGGGGAGCAAACAGGAUUAGAUACCCCCGAGUC
Molecule: ribosomal RNA, 438 nt
Filed under: uncultured bacterium
Lineage: Bacteria
Description: partial 16S ribosomal RNA
Rfam family: Bacterial small subunit ribosomal RNA
Source: RNAcentral